GGGAGCCUGAGAAACGGCUACCACAUCCAAGGAUGGCAGCAGGCGCGCAAAUUACCCAAUCCCGACACGGGGAGGUAGUGACAAUAAAUAACAAUACGGGGUUCUUUCGGAUCUCGUAAUUGGAAUGAGUACAAUUUAAAUCUCUUAACGAGGAACAAUUGGAGGGCAAGUCUGGUGCCAGCAGCCGCGGUAAUUCCAGCUCCAAUAGCGUAUAUUAAAGUUGUUGCAGUUAAAAAGCUCGUAGUUGAAUUUCGGGGUUAGUAGGUUGGUCAUGCCUCUGGUAUGUACUGAUCUCACUGAUUCCUCCUUCCUGAUGAACCGUAAUGCCAUUAAUUUGGUGUUGCGGGGAAUUUGGACUGUUACUUUGAAAAAAUUAGAGUGUUUAAAGCAAGCUAACGCUUGAAUACAUUAGCAUGGAAUAAUGAAAUAGGACGUUCGAUCCUAUUUUGUUGGUUUCUAGGAUUGACGUAAUGAUUAAUAGGGAUAGUUGGGGGCAUUAGUAUUCAAUUGUCAGAGGUGAAAUUCUUGGAUUUAUUGAAGACUAACUACUGCGAAAGCAUUUGCCAAGGAUGUUUUCAUUAAUCAAGAACGAAAGUUAGGGGAUCGAAGACGAUCAGAUACCGUCGUAGUCUUAACCAUAAACUAUGCCGACUAGGAAUCAGACGAUGUUAAUUUUUUAAUGACUCGUUUGGCACCUUACGGGA
This 704-nucleotide ribosomal RNA is filed under the name uncultured fungus. RNAcentral describes it as "SSU rRNA". It matches the Rfam family "Eukaryotic small subunit ribosomal RNA", at positions 390 to 1095 of the family's 1831-position model. The record is from RNAcentral. Lineage: Eukaryota; Fungi.